GACGAACGCUGGCGGCGUGCCUAAUACAUGCAAGUUGAGCGAUGAAGCUUGGUGCUUGCACCAAUUUGAAGAGCAGCGAACGGGUGAGUAACGCGUGGGUAAUCUGCCUUUGAGCGGGGGACAACUUUUGGAAACGAAUGCUAAUACCGCAUAACAACUUUAAACAUAAGUUUUAAGUUUGAAAGAUGCAAUUGCAUCACUCAAAGAUGAUCUCGCGUUGUAAUAGCUAGUUGGUGAGGUAAAGGCCCACCAAGGCGAUGAUACAUAGCCGACCUUAGAGGGGGAUCGGCCACAUUGGGACUGGGACACGGCCCAAACUCCUACGGGAGGGAGCAGUAGGGAAUCUUCGGCAAUUGACGAAAGUCUGACCGAGCAACGCCGCGUGAGUGAAGAAGGUUUUCGGAUCGUAAAACUCUGUUGGUAGAGAAGAACGUUAGGUAGAGUUGAAAGCGCAUCAAGUGACGGUAACUACCCAGAAAGGGACGGCUAACUACGUG
RNAcentral lists this ribosomal RNA (497 nucleotides) under uncultured bacterium. RNAcentral's name for it is "partial 16S ribosomal RNA". It matches the Rfam family "Bacterial small subunit ribosomal RNA", at positions 28 to 507 of the family's 1533-position model. The record is from RNAcentral.